CUGUGGCAGCCAAUCAGGAUGGAGAGAGGGAGGAGCUUCCUUCCUUCAACUCCGGUCCCAGGGAAGGCUGCCUCCAUUACUGAAUUCAGUUGUAAUGGAGGUAGCUGCAAACCGGAGGCCCAAGCAGAGAACCUCUCAUCAAACCAAGGGUUCAAAUUGGAGUUUGGAAAUGCCUGCCUGGAGGCAGUAAUGGGCUGGAUGUAGUAUAACAAAUUGAAGUUGAAUCCAAAGAAGAUGGAAGUACUGAUUGUGGUUGGUCAAGACCUGAGAAAUGGAUUAGAGCUGCCUGUUCUCAACUGGGUUACACUCCCUCUGAAAGAUCAGGGUUGGCUGCAAUUAUGGAGCAGGAAGGCUGUCCUCCUCUUCCCAGGAUAUACAGCUCUUAGAUCCAGUGAGAAGGCCCAGCACAUGUCUGAUGUCACCCUGGUUUUGAACCAGUCGGGAUUUGAGAUUUUGCCUCCAAACUGGAGGUUACUCCUCUUCAAAGGGCCUAAACUUACAUGUCUAAAGAUGGGUCCGGUUUGAGCCAGUUAUCUACUGUGGAAAAGGGUUUAGGCUUGUACCUUGAUGGCUCUGUUCCCUUCAAUGACAAAAAGCAAGAUAGGAUCCACAUUCAGUAACAAAAAGGAGGAAUGUCCCCCUUUCAGAGCACUCAGGGUGGGGUGGAGUUUAAGCCUGAGACAUUCUUGGGCGUAAUUGUUAAAACCUGCUAGGGUCUGGUUCGGAUGAUACCUAACCAGUCCAUACAAUUAAAAAGGGGGUGCAUCAAGUAUGCCCAUUGGGACGUGUUCCUCCUCAUGCAUCCCUGUUAGUGGAGUUGGGUUCUGAAGAAACCACUCAGAACCAUAAUUUAUAAGUAUAAGAAAUGUUACUUAAAAUAAGAAAAACUUAGCUGGGUUACAUGUCUGUUUGGAUGGAGAGAGAGAGAGA
Long non-coding RNA from Hemicordylus capensis (graceful crag lizard), 930 nucleotides. RefSeq lists it as uncharacterized. The record is from RefSeq and is a predicted model, not a curated record. Lineage: Eukaryota; Metazoa; Chordata; Lepidosauria; Squamata; Cordylidae. The transcript is spliced from 3 exons.